UGAACGCUGGCGGUAUGCUUAACACAUGCAAGUCGAACGGUAACGGGUCCUUCGGGACGCCGACGAGUGGCGGACGGGUGAGUAAUGCGUAGGAAUCUGCCCAAUCGUGGGGGACAACCUGGGGAAACCCAGGCUAAUACCGCAUACGCUCCACGGAGGAAAGCGGGCCUCUGAAUAUGCUCGCGCGAUUGGAUGAGCCUACGUCGGAUUAGCUAGUUGGUGGGGUAAAGGCUCACCAAGGCGACGAUCCGUAGCUGGUCUGAGAGGAUGAUCAGCCACACUGGGACUGAGACACGGCCCAGACUCCUACGGGAGGCAGCAGUGGGGAAUAUUGGACAAUGGGGGCAACCCUGAUCCAGCAAUACCGCGUGGGUGAAGAAGGCCUGCGGGUUGUAAAGCCCUUUCAGUGGGGAGGAAAGCCUAGGCGUUAAUAGCGCCUGGGGGUGACGUUACCUACAGAAGAAGCACCGGCCAACUCC
This 479-nucleotide ribosomal RNA is filed under the name uncultured bacterium. RNAcentral describes it as "bacterial SSU rRNA". It matches the Rfam family "Bacterial small subunit ribosomal RNA", at positions 30 to 504 of the family's 1533-position model. The record is from RNAcentral.